CCCUUCUCCAGGGGAUCUUCCCAACCCAGGGAUCAAACCCAGGUCUCCCGCAUUGCAGGCAGAUUCUUUACCAGCUAAGCCACAACCCUGAACCAGUUCCUUUGCUGGGUAACCUCUGAUGAAAAAUUUUUCAAGCAUUUGACUUAUUUUAAAGAGUUGAAUUUAAAUUCAUUAAUGCUGCACUGUACUAAUGGUUACUUACAAAUGCCUAUUGGUUAAGUCUUAGCAUUUAAAAGUGAACCAUCCAUACAAAAUGUAAUAAUUUAGAAUUAAAUGGUUAUGAUUUACUAAGUAAUCAUCAGAUUAUGAGAGAUAAGAAUGAGGCAAUCUUUACAAAGAUGUUUAGACUCACCAAGAUGAUUCCCACCUCUGAGAUGUUAAUGGCUUUUGAGAUUUUUAAGGCAAUUUCAUCUGUUUAUAUCUGGUACCCAUGCAGUAGGAGUGAAGCCAUAGGAGUGGCCCUUCUGUCCACUCAUUUCAGCUCCUCUCUGCUGGAAUGGAUGUGUGUGAAUGGGAUUAAGAGGUCUCUGUAGCCUUCUCUACAUGGGAGCGCUAGAAGGUGCAAGGUUCACCAAGACCCUGUGUUAUCCCCUGGAAUAAGACUUCAGAAGCGAGAGAAAAGGACAAAGCUCAAUCUGAACUAAGUGAAUUUGAAUGGGUCUCAUAAAGUACAUCUGAGAGUAGGCUCAGCAGGUGAGAAUUAAAACAGCCCAGGCUCCUGAACGGGGUGAAACCUUGCCUGGACCUCUAACCAGUGCCGCAUGCAUAGAUCUCAAUGCCUCCCUUUAACAGAGUUCAUGGAAAACUCAUCAAUGAGUUAUUAACAUGGCCCACUCUGGAAAGUUUAUGCUCUGACCUCAGAGUUGUUGGAGGACUAAUUUUUACAUCCAAUUUGUAAACCAAAAGAGAAAUAUGUUAAGAUGAAGAUAUAAAUGUGCAUGGUUGGUACGUUCCUGAAAAGUUGUGUAUAAAUCAAUUAUACAUUAAAAGCACCAGGGGAAAUUACUUUUUAUGGAUGAACUAUUAUGAAUAAUUCUAUAAAGCACAUAACCACCUCUAGCUUAUCUUUCCAGUAUAUCAGAAUUUUCAUAUAUCGUAUUCUCAAAAGAUUUGUUUAAAAGCAAGAUCUGUCUGCAGUAGAAAUAAAGACUAACCACUUAUACUUAGCUCCUUUUAAGUACUGUGUGUGCAACUUCUCAUAAAUAUUAUGUUUUAUGAUGCCUUCCUAAGAGAAAUAAUUUCCUAAUUUUGUAGUUCAUAUUACAAGAGUAAAAUUUUCUAGCAUUUUCUAACAUUACAAUAAAUCAAUGAUGACUGCCUUUCAGCAAAUCUAAAGGUAGAAUAAACCUGUAGAGUAAAAAGUUGCUAUUUACUUGCAGUGAAUACUAUGCAAAUGAACUUAGAAAAUAUCAUUAAGCAUUUUAUGGCAAUACAUCUCAAUGAUGGGGGGAAAAAUUCAACCUUGAAGAAAAUGAAUAGAUUGGUUUAUAUGCUUCUCUCUGCAGUAUAAGAAAACUUGUAUGUAUAUGAAUUAUGAUUUUAAAAGAAAUGCUUUUUUGAAGCUAACAUUCAAAAGUGAAAUCCAAUAACAUCUUUCGUUUGUGAGUUAAAUUCUCUUCUAAUUCUAAAAUUCAUUGACAUAAAUUUGUGAUUUGCUUAGGAUUUAACAUUAUUAAUUAUAAUAAUCCUAGUGAAAAAUUCCAGUCUCACAUUAAGAAGAAGUAGAAAGCUAUUAUAAAGGAAAAUAAAAAUAAAUGUUUUGCAGAUGA
Molecule: long non-coding RNA, 1769 nt
Organism: Bos taurus (domestic cattle)
Lineage: Eukaryota; Metazoa; Chordata; Mammalia; Artiodactyla; Bovidae
Source: Ensembl